ACUUCCACAUUUACUCAUUUUAAGUGGGCAUGUAUAAUACAAGAGCAUUCCUCAUGUGGUCAUCCGUCAUCACUGUGUUGUGUGCCAGAUAAAGACUUUCUACCAGAAUCCAUGUCAGUGGAUAAAUAUUCCCCAUAUUUUUUGUUCCUCAGUUAAGUAGUGUCUCCAGCAGUUGGUAUGAGAGAACAUUUCUCCUGAUAGGAAGAGGGUUGAAGAUAAUUUGGGAUAUUGAGUCUUUGGGCAUAAAGAGAAUACAGAAAACCUCUUACUCAUUAUCAAGAUAAGAGUAGCAGAGAUAGGAAAAUACAGACAAUAAUCUGGGCCUCCGUGGUGUUACAUCUUCAGAAUUAUAAGGUGUUCCUUUUACCAGUGUAUUUGUCAAGUAAUGCCUCAAAUGCCUUAAGAGAAGGGAUUGAUUGGGUAUGGUCACUAGAGAGAAGUCGUUACAGGAGACAGCAUUUGUGAGGUACACAGAGGUCUCCUUAUGAUACUAUGAGGUCUGACUCUGCCUGGAUCCCCUUCCACAGCUGUGUUAUACCUGCUGCAGAGAAUAAAUAGGAGUGGGGGCAGCUGGUGGGUCAUGCCAUGGACAGGGAAAAAAUGGAGACCAUUGCUUCUCUACUUACUCUAUUCAUUCUGAUUUCAGCUUACCUCAGGCCCAUCAUUGCUAUUUAUAGACCACUGAGAAUCACUCAGGAAUUUCAGAAUGAUUCUUAGUGCACACUGGGCAUUGGAUUUUCUAAGAUCCAAGUCUGCUAAAAAUUAUCAAUCUGAGAUCUGGCUUUAAAGCUCUGUCACUCUUUAUUCUGUUUCUGAUGUCUUUGGUUGUGAGCACUUUUUGACCUUUUUAAUACAAUUUUGGUUUGACUUUAGGAAGGAAUACACAUGUAUUCACACCCUCUCAUCCAGCAUAAUAAAUCAGUUACACCAAGUACAACUUUCCUGAAUCCUCAUAGCCAUGAACAAAUAGGUUGACUGUGAUGGCAUGACCAGAAUCCAGGACCCACGGGGGAAGAGUGAGGAAGUGUCAUGGGAUUAAGUUCUUGUUGGGAACACUGGGACUACCUAUGACAGAAAAGGUGACUUUGUGAAAAAAAUCCCCAAGGAACAAAUUUUUGUAGCUGACAUUUUAGUACCCAUUGGAGAGUUACAGAAGCCUGACUGGGCUCUAGAAGGUUUUCAUCCUGGAAAAAUGAAGGCAAAGAGAGCACCAAGCAGGAAAUGAGGAAAGGAGCAUUUGGCUUUCAGGUACUGGCAAUCUAAAGUGAUAUGAAAUAAUCCAUCCCCAACUGGUUAAACAUUUUUAAAAAAAUAUUUAAUGAUUAAAUGACAGAAUCCUAUCUCUUCUUCAAACUAUUUGGAAGGCCAAGAGUUUCACCAGUACUCUCUUGAUAUCUAUCAAGCCAAUUUUAAUUUCUUAAGAUCCACAUAUUCUGAUCUGCAUUUAUCAUAGAUUAUAUAGCAUUUUUCUUUGAUAAUGUAAUUGUUUUAUUAGGGAAAUGGAUUUUAGAUCAUACACAAGAUAUAGUUAUAUUUAUUCAGUAAUCCUUUGUUAUAAAAGGAAUAAAUUACUGAAGAGUGGAAAAUGUUGAUGUUACCAAUUUUUUUAAGUAACCACCCAGAAUCAUAUAUAUUACCUUCCAGUCUUUUUUGUAUUUGCUGUGUGUUUGUAUGCCUUUUGUGAGGAAGCUGUUUUCACACUAGUUAACUAACAAUAAAAAAAAGAUAUAAUGGGAAUCUGGCCCCAUGGAGCAUUGAAGAUCUUUAACCCAGUUCUACAUGAGAGUUGCAAAAAUGUGAUACUCCAGGCUAACCUGUCACUCUCCACAGGUAUGAAGCUCAUAGAUCUUCAGCACUUUGAGGGUUCAUAGUUGCAAUGGUAUCUAGUAUCCCUAAAGCAUCACCAGAUUUCUUAUCAGCUUUGGGACUGGGGCUGACAAGUGAUCCAGCACUAGUGGAAUUUGAUUGGUUGUGCCAAAUGGUAUGUCUCAACUCUGAGAAUCUGUGAUCUCACUAAAAUCAUUGAUAAGAAAAUCUGUGAUCUCACUAAAACCAUUGAUAAUCACUCUGAAU
RNAcentral lists this long non-coding RNA (2073 nucleotides) under Marmota monax (woodchuck). Lineage: Eukaryota; Metazoa; Chordata; Mammalia; Rodentia; Sciuridae. The record is from RNAcentral.